AGGAAUAUUGGUCAAUGGGCGAGAGCCUGAACCAGCCAAGUAGCGUGAAGGAUGACGGCCCUACGGGUUGUAAACUUCUUUUGUGCGGGAAUAAAGGAGCCUACGUGUAGGUUUUUGCAUGUACCGUAACGAAUAAGCAUCGGCUAACUCCGUGCCAGCAGCCGCGGUAAUACGGAGGAUGCGAGCGUUAUCCGGAUUUAUUGGGUUUAAAGGGAGCGUAGACGGGUUUUUAAGUCAGUUGUGAAAGUUUGCGGCUCAACCGUAAAAUUGCAGUUGAUACUGGUUUCCUUGAGUGCAGUUGAGGCAGGCGGAAUUCGUGGUGUAGCGGUGAAAUGCUUAGAUAUCACGAAGAACCCCGAUUGCGAAGGCAGCUUGCUAAACUGUAACUGACGUUCAUGCUCGAAAGUGUGGGUAUCAAACAGGAUUAGAUACCCUGGUAGUCCACACGGUAAACGAUGGAUACUCGCUGUUGGCGAUAUACUGUCAGCGGCCAAGCGAAAGCAUUAAGUAUCCCACCUGGGGAGUACGCCGGCAACGGUGAAACUCAAAGGAAUUGACGGGGGCCCGCACAAGCGGAGGAACAUGUGGUUUAAUUCGAUGAUACGCGAGGAACCUUACCCGGGCUUGAAUUGCAGGAGAACGAUCCAGAGAUGGUGAGGCCCUUCGGGGCUCCUGUGAAGGUGCUGCAUGGUUGUCGUCAGCUCGUGCCGUGAGGUGUCGGCUUAAGUGCCAUAACGAGCGCAACCCUCGCCGCCAGUUACUAACAGUUAAAGCUGAGGACUCUGGCGGGACUGCCAUCGUAAGAUGUGAGGAAGGUGGGGAUGACGUCAAAUCAGCACGGCCCUUACGUCCGGGGCUACACACGUGUUACAAUGGGCGGUACAGAAGGCAGCUACCUGGCGACAGGAUGCCAAUCCCGAAAGCCGCUCUCAGUUCGGACUGGAGUCUGCAACCCGACCCCACGAAGCUGGAUUCGCUAGUAAUCGCGCAUCAGCCAUGGCGCGGUGAAUACGUUCCCG
This 1019-nucleotide ribosomal RNA is filed under the name uncultured bacterium. RNAcentral's name for it is "bacterial SSU rRNA". It matches the Rfam family "Bacterial small subunit ribosomal RNA", at positions 357 to 1376 of the family's 1533-position model. The record is from RNAcentral.